CUGGCGGGUGCUAACACGAUGCAAGUCGAGCGCGAAUGGAGCAAUCCUAGUAGAGCGGCGCACGGGUGCGUACACGUGGGUAUCUGCCCUGAAGCCCGGGAUAACCUGCCGAAAGGCAAGCUAAUACCGGAUAAGCCUACGGCCCCUUCGGGGGCUGGAGGAAAAGGUGGCCUCUGCAUGCAAGCUAUCACUUCAGGAUGAGCCCGCGGCCCAUCAGCUCGUUGGCGGGGUAACGGCCACCAAGGCAACGACGGGUAGCUGGUCUGAGAGGACGAUCAGCCACACUGGAACUGAGAACACGGUCCAGACUCAUACGGGAGGCAGCAGUGGGGGAAUUUUGCGCAAUGGGCGAAAGCCUGACGCAGAAACGCCGCGUUGUGUGAUGAAGGUCUUCGGGAUUGUAAACCCGUUUCAGCAGGGACGAAAUUGACGGGUACCUUGGCAGGAAGAAGGCC
RNAcentral lists this ribosomal RNA (455 nucleotides) under uncultured bacterium. RNAcentral describes it as "bacterial SSU rRNA". It matches the Rfam family "Bacterial small subunit ribosomal RNA", at positions 36 to 479 of the family's 1533-position model. The record is from RNAcentral.